ACUGGGACUGAGACACGGCCCAGACUCCUACGGGAGGCAGCAGUGGGGAAUAUUGCGCAAUGGGCGGAAGCCUGACGCAGCGACGCCGCGUGAGGGAUGACGGCCUUCGGGUUGUAAACCUCUUUCAGCGCCGAAGAAGCGAAAGUGACGGUAGGCGCAGAAGAAGCACCGGCUAACUACGUGCCAGCAGCCGCGGUAAUACGUAGGGUGCAAGCGUUGUCCGGAAUUAUUGGGCGUAAAGAGCUCGUAGGCGGUCUGUCGCGUCGGAUGUGAAAUCCCGAGGCUUAACCUCGGGCCUGCAUUCGAUACGGGCAGACUAGAGUUCGGUAGGGGAGACUGGAAUUCCUGGUGUAGCGGUGAAAUGCGCAGAUAUCAGGAGGAACACCGGUGGCGAAGGCGGGUCUCUGGGCCGAUACUGACGCUGAGGAGCGAAAGCGUGGGGAGCGAACAGGAUUAGAUACCCUGGUAGUCCACGCCGUAAACGUUGGGCGCUAGGUGUGGGGAACCUUCCACGUUCUCCGUGCCGCAGCUAACGCAUUAAGCGCCCCGCCUGGGGAGUACGGCCGCAAGGCUAAAA
RNAcentral lists this ribosomal RNA (577 nucleotides) under uncultured bacterium. Its description in RNAcentral is "bacterial SSU rRNA". It matches the Rfam family "Bacterial small subunit ribosomal RNA", at positions 312 to 899 of the family's 1533-position model. The record is from RNAcentral.